Molecule: ribosomal RNA, 520 nt
Filed under: uncultured bacterium
Lineage: Bacteria
Description: bacterial SSU rRNA
Rfam family: Bacterial small subunit ribosomal RNA
Source: RNAcentral
GAGUUUGAUCCUGGCUCAGGAUGAACGCUGGCGGCGUGCUUAACACAUGCAAGUCGAACGGAACUCUUUUGAUUGAGGCUUCGGCCAAAUGAUUCUGAGUUUAGUGGCGGACGGGUGAGUAACGCGUGAGUAACCUGCCUUGGAGUGGGGAAUAACGGCUGGAAACGGUCGCUAAUACCGCAUAAAGCAUUGAGAUCGCAUGGUUUUAAUGCCAAAGAUUUAUCGCUCUGAGAUGGACUCGCGUCUGAUUAGCUAGUUGGUGAGGUAACGGCCCACCAAGGCGACGAUCAGUAGCCGGACUGAGAGGUUGACCGGCCACAUUGGGACUGAGACACGGCCCAGACUCCUACGGGAGGCAGCAGUGGGGAAUAUUGGGCAAUGGGCGCAAGCCUGACCCAGCAACGCCGCGUGAAGGAAGAAGGUCUUCGGAUUGUAAACUUCUUUUAUCAGGGACGAAGUAAGUGACGGUACCUGAUGAAUAAGCCACGGCUAACUACGUGCCAGCCGCCGCCGGUAAUAC